Long non-coding RNA from Mesocricetus auratus (golden hamster), 2152 nucleotides. RefSeq lists it as uncharacterized. The transcript has 4 exons. Lineage: Eukaryota; Metazoa; Chordata; Mammalia; Rodentia; Cricetidae. The record is from RefSeq and is a predicted model, not a curated record.
UAUUGCCUGUAGCUCUUGGUCUAGGGUGGCAUAUCAUAGGGGCUGUCAUGAUGCAGGUCCUAUUUGGGGAACGAUAGUGAGAUUUCACUCGCUAUAUCACCCCUGCUAUGUCUUGAAGAAACUAUCUAGCGGCAAAUGUCCUGUCCCUCUGGUUCUUAUACUCUUACCACUCCUCUACCAAAAUGUUCCUGAGUCUUAGAUAUAGGAGUUGUCCUGUACACGUACUAUUUGGAAUCUCACAAUUUGUCCUCUGACCUUCGUAUGCAAACUGAGGCAUUAUCAGUGGUGCCUCCAAAGAGAAUACGUAUGAAGAUUUGUAUUUAAUCUUCAAUUAGGUAGAUUAUUUCAUGUUGCUUUGGGUCCCCUUGUCUGUAAAUGUUCUGUUUCUCCUGUUUCUCCAUGUCUUUCUGUGGUUUAAUUUCCCUUCUAGGGAAGAUCCUUCAGCAGCCACCCCAUCAUCCUGUCCAUUAGAUCUAGUCACAUGUACUAAGUCCAUGCACUUUUACCCACAUCAAGCAAGGAUGCUGCAUAAGCAAUUCCAUGAGUUGACAGACAUUUUCUGUCCCCCUAGAAUUACCUGAACGUGAUGGCAAUGUGUCUUCACCAGAGAACCAGGAAAAAACAUCAGUGAAGGUGGAGUCUAAAAAUAGCAGGCGCAAAAUACCUGAACAUGAUGACAGUGUGUCUUUAUCAAAGGAGCAGAAACCACCAGAGCAAGAAAUGGAGGUGGAGUGUGGAAACCUCACAGAUAGUAUGUAUUAUGGAAUCUCUUUCAAGACACAUGUUAGAUAAGAAUUAUUUAAAUGCUCACUGUAUUUUCUACGGUAAACCAAUGUGAUAUUAGACUCCAAUUGGGAGUGAAAAUUAAAAGUUUAAGAGGAAAAAGCAAUGCCCUAAGUAGCCAGUAAUACCUAUGUGUCUGCAGUCAUUACAUUCAGCUCUGAUAACUUUAGUUAUUUUGGCAUUUUUGUGCAGGCAGUGUCUAAAAAGAUUGUUUUCCAAAAUAGUUAUCCUUAUAAUACAAUCCACUUUCCAGUGACAAAUUUUUCAAUUCAAAAGGCAAGAUAUAUAUUUUUAAUUUAUUUUCCAUUUUAUAUAUCAAUCCCAGUUCCCUUCUCUCCAUCCACUCCUCAGAUAGAGUAGGCCUUCCUUGGAGGAGUAAACAAAGUCUGGCAUACCAAGUUAAGGCAGGAUCAAGCCUCUCCCCACUGUAUCAAGGAUAAACAAGGUGUCCCAUCUUAAGGAGCGGGCUCGAAAAAUCCAGUUCAUGCUCCUAGGAUAAGUUCUGGUACCACUGCCAGAACUCCCCCCUCCCCAGCCCCACCAGAUCAAGUUUUACCUACAAAAAAAGUGUUCAAACCUCACCAUACAGAUGUGUGACAGAUGUGUUUUCUUGUGCAGCUUUCUGAAGAAUCUUAGACCAAAUGUAAGGUAAUCAGUCUUCGUAGUUAUAGAGAUCAGGAAGCACUUCCUACUUCAUCAAGAGCUCAAGAAUCCCUAUGUGAGAGUUACAGGUGCCCAGCAUCUGCCCGCAAUAAUCCAGCCCUAGGGAGAUGCCAGACGAUGUUGAGCCCCACAGUGGGCAGAAGGCAAGGGCAUUGCUCUUUACCUGCCUGUGAAUGCUCACAAGUACUAUAGAUGGAAAAUCCAUAAGUUUGGUCAGAUCAGAGAGAUUGACUAUAUGAGACAUUACAUUGAAAAAUAGGUUGGAUAUAUGUGAUAACUGGAUUUAUGGUAGAGACAACCCGUUCCAGUAUGAACCGGUGGAAAGGCUUAACAGAUUAGACAACAUUAACAUAAGAGCCAUACAAUUUAUGGGCAAAGUCCACUAAGAACUCCAGACACCUAGUGACUUUUGAGCUUCACUGGGCCUUUAUUUUGGAUACAUACAUGCAUAUAUAUAUAUAUAUAUAUAUGCUGGAGUUUGUAUUCCAAUAUUACUGCUAUGACUCACCAGUCUCCAUGAUGUCUGCUAAGUCUGAGCACUCAUUGGAACGAUAUGUGCAGUAGUGAGUUACUCAGGCAGAGUAUGGCUGGGUAUCAUCAUUUUGAAGAUGGUGGCUGUGUUUGAGUACCCUCACAGUCAGGAUUUGUCAGAGAGGGUCUAUGUGAGCAGGAAUGUAUAGACCAGUUGGUUUAGUGUGUUCCUAGC